Molecule: long non-coding RNA, 1565 nt
Organism: Rhincodon typus (whale shark)
Lineage: Eukaryota; Metazoa; Chordata; Chondrichthyes; Orectolobiformes; Rhincodontidae
Exons: 2
Source: RefSeq, a predicted model, not a curated record
AUGGUCUUGUCCGCUGCCCCAACAAUGAUGUGGACGUGCCAGAGUUGGACCGGGGUGGACAAGGUCAAAAACCACAUGACACCAGGUUCGAGUCUAACAGGUUUAUUCGAAAACACAAAGUUUCGGAGUCUCUCUCCUUCUGCAGGUACGCUUGAAAGAGGAAGCAAAAAGACACGGAAUUUUAAGUAAAAUACCGCAGAUUGAGCGGUUUCCGGCUCUCAUGGAGUUGUGGGUCGUCUGGAAGACAUGAGAGAGAAUAUCGGCAGUAUUUGGCGUCUGAAUUUGGAAACGGAUGAAGGGUCUAGGCCCGAAACGUCAGCCUCUCUGCUCCUAUGAUGCUGCUUGGCCUGCUGUGUUCAUCCAGCCCUGCACCUUGUUGUCUCGAAUGGGGAUGGAAUUGGUUGGUUAUGCUGGGAGACAGGGACAACAGCGAAAGGUUGAUUUGUCAUUGAAGGAUUCAGAUGAAACCACAUCCAGCUUUGACAGUCAUUCUGUUUAUCGGAACCUGUUUAUCAAAGGAUUUUGAAGAGGAAACAGCAGCAUUCACACUGGACAGAAACAUGCCUAUACUGUAUGUGUAAAAGUCUGUAAGCAUUUAUCUAAAAUGUCAAAACACCAGCGCAAUUGCACUAGGGAGAGACUGUGGAAAAAUGUGGACUGCCUGAAGGGAACUCUUUCCCCAUUCCAACUGGAAAUUCACCAAAGCAGUAACAAUAGGAAGAAGCUGUUCACCUGUUCUGAAUGUGGAAAGGGAUUCACUCGGUCAUCCCACUUGCUGAGACACCAGCGAGUUCACACUGAAGAGAGACCGUUCACUUGCAUCAUGUGUGGGAAUGGAUUCACAGAGUCAUAGGAACUGCUAACACACCAGCGAAUUCACACUUGGGAGAAACCAUUCACAUGCUCCGAGUGUGGGAAGGGAUUCACUUGUCAUCCAACAUGUUAACACACCAGGGAGUUCACAGUGGGGAGAAGCCAUUCAUUUGCUCUUUGUGUGGGAAGGGAUUCACUCGGUCAUCCCACUUGCUGGUUCACCAGUGAGGUCACACUGGGGAGAGACCGUUCACUUGCUCUGUGUGUGGGAAGGGAUUCACAUGGUUAUAUGAACCGUAGACACACCAGCGAGUUCACACUGGGGAGAAACCAUUCACGUGCUCCGAGUUUGGGAAGGAAUUCAUUCAGUCGUUCCGCUUGCUGAGACAACAGUGAACUCACACAGUGUAGAAACCAUUCACUUGCUCUCUGUGUGGGAAGGGAUUCAUUCAGGCAUCCAUCCGAUGAAUACAGCAGCAAGUUCGCACUGGAGAGAGACCCUUCAACUGUUAUGUAUGUGGGAAGGCAUUCACACAUUCACCCAACCUGCAGGUACACUAGCGACUUCACACUGGAAAGAAAUCAUUCACUUGCUCUGUGUGUGGGAAGGGAUUCAGUCAGUCAUCCAACCUGCUGAGACACCAGUGAAUUCACCAAUAAAUACAGUUGAAGGAUUUUGUUUCUCUUAUUCACAUCAUGGAACGAGCAAUGGUCUUGGGCAGUUGAAAUGUUAAUAAAAUUGUCUAUCUGGA